Molecule: long non-coding RNA, 3934 nt
Organism: Sarcophilus harrisii (Tasmanian devil)
Lineage: Eukaryota; Metazoa; Chordata; Mammalia; Dasyuromorphia; Dasyuridae
Source: Ensembl
AUGUAUGAGACAGAAGAGAAGAAAAAUGGAAAAAAAGAGAUUUCUUUUAUUUAACAAUUGUACAAAUGAUAAAACAAUACCAAAUGCUAUACACAGAACAAGAAGAAAACUAUGUCAAACAGAAUGAUCCUUGGCAGAAUAUACCUUAACUCUAUACAAAUAGAAUCUGGAGGGCUCAGUAGCAAUAGUACUGUGAAACAAUGUUAUUCUCUGUAAACUCUUUUCCUGUGUUAUAUCCAUUUAAAACACUUGUGCUUUUGCCUACACAAAUAAAUACCAUAGUAAUGUGUUACUGAAAUCAAUAAUCUAAAUAUUGAAUCCUUAAUCUAUAAAUUGCAGCAUAAACAAAUUUUUAGUCUUAAAAUUUUAAAAAUAUUUCAAACAAACUGAAACCCUGUUUUAACACUAUUCAUCAAAUCAGUGAAAGCCUAAAGGAAGAAUGGUAACAGAAAUACUAAGGAAUUUUGUAUAUCUCAUCAAAAGGGGUAUGUAUCUCAAAUAUAGCAUUAUAACAAGGUUCCAUAAUGGACAUGAUAUAGAUAUUUGUAGGUGAAACACAUCAGUUAUAAACACAUACAUAAACAGCAUGACAAAAUUAUCAGUGAACUAAAAAUUUUGAGACACCCUGUAUUGUGUAUGUGUAUACAUAUAAAUGUGAAAAUAGAUGGAUCACAUCUAUUGGUACUAUAAGUGUGAAAAUCACACAUAUGGUGAAAUUUACAUUUGUUUGGAUUUCAUUUGUACUUUUCACCAAAACAAAUAUAAUUAUUCUAAUACUCAAUUCUUUAAGUAGCUAGGGAAUGUGUAAUGGUUGAUGAGGAAAUUUUAUCCCAAGCUGUAAAGAUAACUAAUACAUAUUUCUCCCAUGCCUUUUCUCUAAUUCAAGAAAGAAAUUAUACAAAUAUAUAUUAAGCGCCUCCUUUGUGCAAGGCACUGUUCUAGCAUCUGGAGUUACGAUAAAUAUUACCUACUAAUAGACACUUAAAAUAUUUUUCUAUGGACCAAAUAUCAAGUCAUGUGCACAUGUAACUAAUUUUUCAAAUGAAAACUAAUUCCUUUGUACACUCUCUUUCUGUGUAAUAUCUUAAUAUCUAAUAGGUAUAUACACUAUUCCUAGGAUUUUGCUUAACUUUUUUUUGGUAAGCAUAAAUGUAGAUAUUCCCAUUAACAAUUGAUAUAGAAUUCACAUGAUAUACAACAUAAGGAUUACUUUGAGCAACCAGCUUCUUCUGUCCUUCCCAGACAUAAUUUUCAUAAAAAUUUUAGUUUUGUUCACAAUUUAACCAGUUUCAUCCAUUCCUGUGGUUGAAAUACUAAAAGUUAACCAGGAAAUCACAGAACAUAAUUAUCUGAGACUGAUCAAUUUGUAUUUUGGUAACCUUAUAAUUAUUAUUGAGUUCAUUGAGCAAUAACCAUUAUAGCUUUACUGUGGAUUGUUCAUGCCCCCAAAAGUCUUUUUAUUUAAAGGACAGAAAUACUAAAUUAAGCACCUGCCUGGUGCAGAACUUUCCAGUAUCAUGCAGAGGGUUUUAAAUUUUGAAAUAGAAGUGGAUUAAUGCUGAGGAAUAUGUGACUGUCCUAAAGCAACAUGAGAUAUGUCAAGUAUUUGAUAAUAUUUUGAUUUACUCUACAUUCUCCUGUCUUGACUUUAUAUUUAGACAUUUUUCUCUCUCUGCCCAUAUAGUUAUUCUCUAUUCAUUUCUUUGACCUAUUCUUAUAAAAAAGGCCAUAUCAGAUAGUUAAGGAGAAGGGAACAAGGAAAGGUAUAUAGUAGAAAAUGAAAUGGGAUGGUACAGGUUGCUACUUUGAGCAUGAAAUGCCUUUAAAUGAAUUCAUUUCAGAGUAUUAAAAGCUCCCUGAGAUUGACAAAAGUAGUCUCAGUCAAUGCUGAAGCCCUUUUUUUUUUUUUUUUUUUUUUUGUUUGUUUUGUUUUUGAUGCUGGACUCUGGUAUGAAGGAAUAUUUUCAGAACUGGGAACAUAUUUGGAGAAUACAAGCAAAAAGUCACAAAGAAAUGAGAAGCUAAAAAGGCACUACUUAAUUCAUCUUUGAGAUAGCAAUGCACAGAUAAGUGGACAGUAGAAAUGCUUUUGUUGUGGCCUUACAAAACAGGCUUAAAUUCAUUUGUUGAAUUAAAAAAAAAGAAAUGUAGCAUCGUUUGCCUUCAUUCCUGCUGGUUGAGAGAUAUACUGAAUGUUUCUGUGAGCCUUCCUAGCCUUUUAGGACUUAAUAUAUCAACUCUGAGUAGAUUCAGAAAUUUUCCACUGUAUAAUCCAAUCCAAAUAGAUAGUAUCCGUAACUUUUCUGCUUUAUAUUUGUUUAAGUGCUGAAUUUUAAAUAAUUUUAUCAGUAACAUAAUCAAAAUACAAUUCUAUUGUUUCAAAGAUGAUGAAUGAUUUUUAAUGAUGUGGACCAAUCUUAUCCUUUUUACACUUCAUUUCAGUAUUGAAUGAUGCUACUAUUUUCUUUAUGCUUUUUGAGAAAUAUCAACAUUUUAGGAAAAGUCAUGUAAGCCAAAUAUUUAUCCUGCAUUUUAAUAUUAUCACAUAAAGUAUCAAAAUACAUAUAGUUAUAAUGAUUCCCAUUUCUUCAAAAUGAAAGCAUAUAUAGCUCUGUGUGUGUGUGCCUAUACUGAUGGUACUGAUUUUCCUCCUUUAAAAAAAUGGUUUUUAUUUUGUGAUUUCAUUGGUGUAAGGAAUUCCCAGUGAAAAGAUUCCCUCUACCAAGGCAGGGCAAGAACUGUUGUAAAACACAAACUGAAAGUUAACAGGAACAUUGAGAGGUUAAAUAUAUUGCAGUGUCCCAUAGCCAUUAUGUGUCAGAGCUGGGAUUUAAAGUCAGUUCUUAGCUGGCUAUCUAUUCACCAAAUUGAGAUGCUUUACUACCUGUGGUUCUGCUUCUUAGCAUCUAUGAUAUGUCAUGAGCAAGUUACUCUCUAUGGUCUCAGUUUCCUCAUAUGUAAAAUGAAAGUAUUCUUCUCUAAGGUCCUUUCUGGCUAUAUGACUGUGGACAUUUAAAACAAAGGUGCAUUUGUGUAUAUAUUAUAUAUACAUAUUUGCAUAUACACACAUAUACAUAUAUAUAUAUCAUAUAUAGAUAUAUGUACACACACAUACACAGAGAAAAAGGGAGGAGAGACACAGAAACAGAGACAAUGAGGCAGAAUGGCAUCCUGGAUAGAGAAGUGGUCAUAAAUUGUGAUGUUCUGAAUUAAAAUCCCAGCUUUGGCAAAUAUUGGCUGUAUGGCUUUAAGCAAGAUACUUAAUAUCUCAGUGACUCAGGUAACCCUUUCAAACUUUAAGUCGAAGAAAAAAAUGAUUAUCUUCACUGAUAGAAUUUCCUCACAGAUUUCCCUAAAACAAUUAAAAGGCAGGUCUGGUUGGAGAAAAAAAAAAAGGUGACAACAUACAUAUUGUGUAAAUAUCAUCAAGGACACAUAUGAUUUAAAAAGAAGGCAGAUCAGUCAAGUAUUAAAAAGGACAACAGCUGUUUAGUCAGUGUGAUAAACUUAUAAUUUCUAAAUAGUAAAAGAAAAAAACAUGCUGGAACAGAUGCAUUAUGGAAGAUAUUUGGAAAAAUAUGGACAAAAUAAUAUAUAUUGUGAAAGAGAUGCCAUGUACAUAGUUCUCUACAUGCAGUGGGUACUUAAUAAAUGUUUCUUACUUUUAUAUAAGUGAAGAAAGUACCUACUGACCUAUCACAAGUCCAUCAAAUUAAAUGAGUCAUAUACAUUUAAUAUUUGACUUUGGCCUUUUCCAGAUAGACCUUUCAAAAUAAGUUAUUUUUUCUUUGUAUUCAAUGGACAUUUGUUAUGUAUUUGUAUAAAGACCAUCUUAAUGGCUUGGAGAUUUAUACACGUGUGUGUGUGUGUGUGUGUGUAUGUGUAUUGUGCAAGUAUAUAGAAAUAUACACACAAUACGUAUAUCCAUAUACAU